ACACCAACCCAGAGAAUUGCUGGUGGAAGUACUGAUGAAUACACCAACAUCUCUGAGGGAAGUCAUCAACUGGGAGCAUAUGAGAUGGGCCAGCACAGACUUGGCUCAAAGACCCACAGACCACACUGUGUUACUGGAGAGCAACAGGUUUGAACAAACUCAGAGGACUAUGAUGUCAUGGCAGUUAUGAAAACGAAUGUGUCAGUGCUGUAUGUACUGAUAUGAAGCAAUCUCCAAGAUGUAUCUUCAGUGACAACAGCAUGAUGCAGAACGCUAGGCAUGAAAACAGCCCUGGAAGUCUGCCCUGGCGCCUGCACUGAGACUAAUCCAGGUCAUUUUAGGGAAACUGCCCAGCUCUGGCACCUCACUGUGUCUCAGUCAGCUCUGUGGGGUGCUAUGGCCUCAUUUUCCCACUAGAGGACACUGUGGCUCCAGGACUUCAUGUGGCUCCCAGCCAGUCUUGCUACUCCAGCACCUCUAAGGAGGCAAAGCCUUUAGUGUGCAUUUAUUAGGCACCAACUGGGUACUUUCUGUAUCAAGGAGAGAAAUAAAAGAGGUC
Long non-coding RNA from Pongo pygmaeus (Bornean orangutan), 559 nucleotides. RefSeq lists it as uncharacterized. The transcript has 3 exons. The record is from RefSeq and is a predicted model, not a curated record. NCBI's taxonomy places the organism in Eukaryota, Metazoa, Chordata, Mammalia, Primates, Hominidae.